This 75-nucleotide transfer RNA is filed under the name Pseudomonadota bacterium. RNAcentral's name for it is "Proteobacteria bacterium (hot springs metagenome) tRNA-Lys". It matches the Rfam family "tRNA". Rfam says of the family: Transfer RNA (tRNA) molecules are approximately 80 nucleotides in length. Lineage: Bacteria; Pseudomonadati; Pseudomonadota. The record is from RNAcentral.
GGGUCGUUAGCUCAGUGGUAGAGCAACUGGCUUUUAACCAGUUGGUCGUAGGUUCGAGCCCUACACGACCCACCA